CAUUAAUAAAUAUCUCUACAACUUUUCACAUACCCUCUUUAUAAAUAUAACUUUUAAUAUUAAAUUAAAUACACAUAAAAAUAAAAUUUUUAUGACCUUUCGCAAACGAUCUUAAUAAACGUAUUUAUUCUUAUUAGGAAAAACUUCAAAAACCCCCUAUGGUUUCACACUUUCUCACUUUAGUACCUUUUGGUUUAAAAUGUAUCAAUUUGCCUCCCUGUGGUUUCGUUUUUCUCUUUUUAUUAUUAAUUUCAUUAUUUUUUUUCUUAAAUCAGUGACAAAAUUAAAAUUAAAGAGUAAUAAAAAUAUUCGAUAAAUCUAAAUAGGUAUCUGAAGUUUUUUGUAUAUAAUUUAACGAAAUAUUAAUGAAAAAGAUACCGAAAAGAUAAAAACAAAACCACAUGGGGGCAAAUUGAUACACUUUAAACCACAAAGUACUAAAGUGAAAAAGUAUGAAACCACAGGAUGGGUUUUUAAAGUUUUCCCUUCUUAUUAAUUACAUAAACAUAAUAAAACUUAAAUUUAAAAAUAAAAUUUAAAAUUAGAUUAAUAAUUUUGAUGUACAAUUAAAAUUUAGAAUAGAAAUUUUAAUUUUAAUUCAAGAUUAAAAUUAUAGUUGAAAUUUAAAAUUAUUAUACUUAAUUAGUUUUAAUAAUUU
RNAcentral lists this long non-coding RNA (658 nucleotides) under Ananas comosus (pineapple). RNAcentral's name for it is "long non-coding RNA (ACOM_LNC037171)". Lineage: Eukaryota; Viridiplantae; Streptophyta; Magnoliopsida; Poales; Bromeliaceae. The record is from RNAcentral.